Molecule: ribosomal RNA, 292 nt
Filed under: uncultured prokaryote
Description: partial 16S ribosomal RNA
Rfam family: Bacterial small subunit ribosomal RNA
Source: RNAcentral
GUGUCAGCAGCCGCGGUAAUACGUAGGUGGCAAGCGUUGUCCGGAUUUAUUGGGCGUAAAGCGAGCGCAGGCGGUUUCUUAAGUCUGAUGUGAAAGCCCCCGGCUCAACCGGGGAGGGUCAUUGGAAACUGGGAGACUUGAGUGCAGAAGAGGAGAGUGGAAUUCCAUGUGUAGCGGUGAAAUGCGUAGAUAUAUGGAGGAACACCAGUGGCGAAGGCGACUUUCUGGUCUGUAACUGGCACUGAGGCGCGAAAGCGUGGGGAGCAAACAGGAUUAGAAACCCUUGUAGUCC